GGUGUAGCUCAGUGGUAGAGAACUUGCCUAGUAAGCACUAGGCCCUGGGUUCCACCCCCAGCACC
Molecule: transfer RNA, 65 nt
Filed under: Heterocephalus glaber (naked mole-rat)
Lineage: Eukaryota; Metazoa; Chordata; Mammalia; Rodentia; Bathyergidae
Rfam family: tRNA
About the family: Transfer RNA (tRNA) molecules are approximately 80 nucleotides in length. Their secondary structure includes four short double-helical elements and three loops (D, anti-codon, and T loops). Further hydrogen bonds mediate the characteristic L-shaped molecular structure. tRNAs have two regions of fundamental functional importance: the anti-codon, which is responsible for specific mRNA codon recognition, and the 3' end, to which the tRNAs corresponding amino acid is attached (by aminoacyl-tRNA synthetases). tRNAs cope with the degeneracy of the genetic code in two manners: having more than one tRNA (with a specific anti-codon) for a particular amino acid; and 'wobble' base-pairing, i.e. permitting non-standard base-pairing at the 3rd anti-codon position.
Source: Rfam by way of RNAcentral